UGCAGUCGAGCGAUCUGAGGGAGCUUGCUCCCAAAGAUUAGCGGCGGACGGGUGAGUAACACGUGGGCAACCUGCCUGUAAGACUGGGAUAACUUCGGGAAACCGGAGCUAAUACCGGAUAAUCCCUUUCCUCACAUGAGGAAAGGCUGAAAGACGGCGUCUAGCUGUCACUUACAGAUGGGCCCGCGGCGCAUUAGCUAGUUGGUGAGGUAACGGCUCACCAAGGCCACGAUGCGUAGCCAACCUGAGAGGGUGAUCGGCCACACUGGGACUGAGACACGGCCCAAACUCCUACGGGAGGCAGCAGUAGGGAAUCUUCCGCAAUGGACGAAAGUCUGACGGACCAACGCCCCGUGAGUGAUGAAGGUUUUCGGAUCGUAAAACUCUGUUGUUAGGGAAGAACAAGUAUCGGAGUAACUGCCGGUACCUUGACGGUACCUAACCAAAAAGCCACGGCUAACUACGUGCCAGCAGCCGCGGUAAUACGUAGGUGGCAAGCGUUGUCCGGAAUUAUUGGGCGUAAAGCGCGCGCAGGUGGUUCCUUAAGUCUGAUGUGAAAGCCCACGGCUCAACCGUGGAGGGUCAUUGGAAACUGGGGAACUUGAGUGCAAAAAAGGAAAGUGGAAUUCCAGUGUAGCGGUGAAAUGCGUAGAGAUUUGGAGGAACACCAGUGGCGAAGGCGACUUUCUGGUCUGUACUGACACUGAGGCGCGAAAGCGUGGGGAGCGAAAGGAUUAGAUACCUGGUAGUCCACGCCUAAACGAUGAGUGCUAGUGUUAGAGGGUUCCGCCCUUAAUGC
This 799-nucleotide ribosomal RNA is filed under the name Cytobacillus horneckiae. Its description in RNAcentral is "bacterial SSU rRNA". It matches the Rfam family "Bacterial small subunit ribosomal RNA", at positions 56 to 847 of the family's 1533-position model. The record is from RNAcentral. Lineage: Bacteria; Bacillati; Bacillota; Bacilli; Caryophanales; Bacillaceae.